AGUGGAAGCCACUGACGUCACUGGCGGGCUAGGGCACGGAGGGCGCCUGGAGACUCGGAUGGCGACCGAGGAUGUGGCUGCUUCCAAGGUGUCUCCAUCUGCGGGCAGGGAGGGGGCUCAGCCCCGGAAGCGGGCAGAGUUUGCACAGUUCAGGAGCGAAGGGUGGGAGCAAGCUGCCCGGGCCUGGCCUACUUGACGGGACGCGGGGUGCGUGCCUGCUUCCCAGGCUCCCCCCUCCCCUGCCAGGUGCCCGCAGCGGGGGCGACGCGGCCAGGGAGGGGUGCACGGAGGUGUCGCAGGACCGAGGCCACGCGCAAGUCGCCCUGUUCCUUGAGGCUUCCAUUUGCACCGGGUCGAGGUCACCGCUGCCCUCCGAGGCCGGGCUCUUCCCCUGCACCCUGGGAUGCCCGCCCGGGUUGUCCCACUCGGGAACAGGACGCAUCAUCCUGGAGCCGGGGCAAGAGCGUGCUCGGGGCCACAGCCCCCUUUCCGCCAGCCCCCAGCCCCGGCUGGGCUCCAGGUUCCCCGUCCCCAGGGUGCCGCUCAGCUCCGGGAUGUACUUUUGGCUCUCAGCCUCUGAAGUCAGGGUUGUCCACCGGUGUCCCCGCAUCCUGAACUUCUGCUGUCCCUGUGGCCAGCAGAGGCGCGGCGCCAGCUGCUGAAGUGGGAAGAGGGCAUGUUUCUGUCGGAGGGGUCUGGACAGACGCCUGCGUCCCUUUACGCAGCCCUGGGGAGGUGAGUUCCCCAUGGGCGGCAGCCACACGCGGAUCCCGGGACCCGAAGCUGAAGGCCUCUCGCCCCGCCCAGGGCCAGGGCCUCCUCUGCCCGAGCCCCUCACACCCUUCUUUCGCCUUCACCCUGCUCAGCUCCUGAUCAUCCUCGCCAAGCUCAGAGGCCUCCAAGCGCGGCCAAGCUUGGCUGGCGAAGCCGUGGCGCCCCGGCCCUUUCUCGCCUCUGCACCGGCUGUGCUCCGAGCUGCCUCCCUUCCAAGGACACUGGGCAGCCGGCUUCCUUCUGCUUCUGCCCCCCUCCCCCCGCUUAGAAACGCUGCCGGUCCCGAGGGCGCAGGACCCAGCCCCAGGCUGUGCUCCCGGAGCCGGGGGAGGAGAGCGAACCUCAGGGCUGGCUCUCCACAGCCGCCGGAGCUGAGUGCAUCCCGAUCGGCUUUUAGGAUGGCAUUGACUGGGACAAGCUGUUCCCAGCCCCGUAAGCGUUAAUCUGCCUGUUAAUCAAAGCACUGAGGGGCUCAAUGAGGGUUUUAUUAGCGACCGGAGAGCAGAGGCAGCAGCCAGGGAUCAAAAGCCAGGGUCCCAGGUACUUUGUCAGCAAGGCACUCAAAAAAAUUGUAUUUUCAAUUAGAGAACAAUUCGGGGCUUUUCAUCAUCUCCUAACCAGGUCUCACAGAUGCUGACUUCCAGACUGUGCGCAGGGGAGAACCAAAUGCCCGGGGGCGGACCGGGGCGGCCGAGGGGCCCUGACGCCUCCCGACGCAGUCGAAAGGGAAGCCGCGAGCCACACCGCCAAUGUGGGCUUCAGACCCUGGGUCGCCCGCGCCACUGCCGGGCUGCCGGAAGUUUACGGAGCCGGAGCCGAGAGACUCCCACGCGCCUCCUCUGCCCUGGAGGGAGGCUGGGUCCCCUCCAGGGUGCCUCUCAAACCCUAAAACAAAUACAUAAAAGCCCAGGCCUUGGGGACUUUUGAACAGCAAUUGCUCCAAUAAUCCAAAUUGUACGAGAACUCCAGGGAAAAGAGCCAACCCAGCCACACCCGCCCUGCGAUCGCGAGGGCAGCGGCGAGGCCACCGCGAGGACUCGGUCAGAGGCGAUUAUGUCACCGCGUUUUCUCGCCGUGACAGCCGAAUAAACACGAUCUCCAAUAAACAUCUCUAAUGAGGGAGGAGGCCCGAGGACGGCUGGGUUUGAUUUAUGACUGGAGAAGGUCCUCUGCCCACAGCGAGGCGGGCAGCCUGCUCUCCGCUCAGCUCGAGGAGAGAUCCGCGUGGGACCCAGCCCAGGAGACAAGACAGUAACAGGACUUCUCCCCGAGAAAAGAAAGGACCCCACUGGCUGCCUGUUGUGGACGUGGAGAACCAGGCUGUGUCCACCUGCUGAGACCUCAGGCCAAGCCACUGUGACAAAGGGCUGGGCUCAAACUCAAGACCUCAUGCAUGCUGGACAAACUCUACCACUGAGCUACACUCCAGACUCUUCAGUUCGCCUCUUCGAUACUUGGCUAUGCAACUGCUUUUGACCAGCAGAAUGAGGAGGCACAUGUGACUAGGCGCCAGUGUGCAGCUUGGGUCUAGCGACUCUGCAGGGUUCCACUUGCUCUUGUGUGGUCACCAAGGGAAGAAGGAUCACACAGGGCUCAGGUGGAGUUCCACAUCAUCAAGGAAGAAGCCAAAAAAGGUGAAAUCAGACCCGGGGCAGUCAGUGGUCACGGACUCCAUCUGAUACAUCCCAUGAACCAGGCAUGUGUUAGUGGACAUGGGGGCCCAGAGGUGACUCAGACAUGACUGAGCAAGGCGCACAGCAGAGGUGAAGGGCACACCCUGCAUCUCCACAGGGAGCCCUGACACCCACAAUCCACCUCCUGUGGCCGUGCACACUCAGAUCCUGUUUCCUUUGGGAGGAGCCCGAGCCCCUUGGAAGGAGGUUUCCGAGGACUCGAGUCUUGGGUCUCAAGAUUUUCAAGCUGAAUUUGAGUUUGCUGUCCUUCUCUGAUGAACACUGGGAAGCGUCACCUGAGUCCUCACACUUUGGCCCAGACGGGCAUGAAGAUUCUCGGCGUGCAGGCAGGAAACCCCAGGGAGUGCCAGCCCUCCAGCCAGGUCACACAGCAGUUGUGGCCAAGACUCAAGAGAGCUGUGCUUCCUCUUGCUCUGCUUCUGCCUCACAGCUCCAUUUCCACUCAGUGGCUCUUGGCCUUUCGGUAGGUGGGUAGAAGCUGGAGUCGGGCAGGAGGCAGUUCUAAAACGCAGAGCCAGGUGGCUACUCCCUGGCAGAGAGGUGGGUGACAGCACAGAGACAUUUAUACCUCCACUUAGUCCACACACCCGAAGUUAAGGCACCAAGUCCCCUGCUUGAUUGUGAGCACCUGAGGACAUCACCACUUAUGGUCCUGACAGGAAGCCAGCACUGCAUGUCCGAGAACAUGGGUGACCACAUGGACACAAGACAGCCCUCAGAAUGUCCCAUUCACAAUGAAAAAACAACUGGUGCUUGAAGUGGAGUCACGUGUCCACCAGCACGCAGCGUGGCGCUAGGACUUGAACCCACGGCCUCCUGAUGUCCAGAUUCAAAGACAGCCAAAGCCAACAUUCAAAGAAAGACCUGGGUGAAACUAGCAGGAAGAGAACGAACCGCGAGCGCGCAGUUGCCACAGAAAUGCAGCCUAAGGGAUCACCUGACCCUGCCGUCCACCGGGGCUCAGCUGGGCCCGGCUGGG
RNAcentral lists this long non-coding RNA (3447 nucleotides) under Heterocephalus glaber (naked mole-rat). Its description in RNAcentral is "lncRNA (ENSHGLG00100047179.1)". Lineage: Eukaryota; Metazoa; Chordata; Mammalia; Rodentia; Bathyergidae. The record is from RNAcentral.